UUAGAUAACAUACCAACUUAGUGGUGACUCCAUUAACUGAUCRAAUCGCACGGCUUCGUCCGCGAAAAUCAUUCAGGUUUCUGCCCCAUCAGCUUUUUAUGGUACUGUAUUGGACUACCAUGGCUUUCACGGGUAACGGAVGAUUAGGGUUCGAUUCCGGAGAGGGAGCCUGAUAAACGGCUACCACAUCUAACGAAGGCAGCAGGCGCGUAAAUUACCCAAUCCUGAUUCAGGGAGGUAGUG
This 243-nucleotide ribosomal RNA is filed under the name uncultured Spirotrichea. RNAcentral describes it as "partial small subunit ribosomal RNA". It matches the Rfam family "Eukaryotic small subunit ribosomal RNA", at positions 212 to 471 of the family's 1831-position model. Lineage: Eukaryota; Ciliophora; Spirotrichea. The record is from RNAcentral.